GACGAACGCUGGCGGCGUGCUUAACACAUGCAAGUCGAACGGAAAGGCCCUGCUUUUGUGGGGUGCUCGAGUGGCGAACGGGUGAGUAACACGUGAGUAACCUGCCCUUGACUUUGGGAUAACUUCAGGAAACUGGGGCUAAUACCGGAUAGGAGCUCCUGCUGCAUGGUGUGGGUUGGAAAGUUUCGGCGGUUGGGGAUGGACUCGCGGCUUAUCAGCUUGUUGGUGGGGUAGUGGCUUACCAAGGCUUUGACGGGUAGCCGGCCUGAGAGGGUGACCGGCGACAUUGGGACUGAGAUACGGCCCAGACUCCUACGGGAGGCAGCAGUGGGGAAUAUUGCAAAAGGGGAGGAAGCCUGAUGCAGAAACGCAGCGUGCGGGAUGACGGCCUUCGGGUUGUAAACAGCUUUCGAAUGUGACGAAGCGUGAGUGACGGUAAUGGGUAAAGAAGCACCGGCUAACUACGUG
RNAcentral lists this ribosomal RNA (468 nucleotides) under uncultured bacterium. Its description in RNAcentral is "partial 16S ribosomal RNA". It matches the Rfam family "Bacterial small subunit ribosomal RNA", at positions 28 to 507 of the family's 1533-position model. The record is from RNAcentral.